CGGAGUGUAGCUCAGCCUGGUAGAGCACCGUCUUCGGGAGGCGGGGGUCNGNGGNUCAAAUCCUCUCACUCCGACCA
RNAcentral lists this transfer RNA (77 nucleotides) under Rhodospirillaceae bacterium. RNAcentral's name for it is "tRNA-Pro". It matches the Rfam family "tRNA". Rfam says of the family: Transfer RNA (tRNA) molecules are approximately 80 nucleotides in length. Their secondary structure includes four short double-helical elements and three loops (D, anti-codon, and T loops). The record is from RNAcentral. Lineage: Bacteria; Pseudomonadati; Pseudomonadota; Alphaproteobacteria; Rhodospirillales; Rhodospirillaceae.